AUGGCGGAGUCCGAGUCUCUCGAUGCGUUCGCCGGGAGGCUCGGCGGCAUGGCGGCGCGCUACGCGGCGUUGGGCUCAACCCUGGAAGAUUCCGCGCUCGUCAAGAAGCUACUUGACUCGGUGCCGAACCGGCUGUACGCGGCGGUGGCCGGCAUUGAGCAGUUCUGCGACGUCGGGGCGAUGCUGUUCGAGGACGCGUUGGGGCGGCUGAAGGCUUUUGAUGAACGGCUGCGGCGACGCGAUCAGGCAGGCGGCGAGCAAGCUGACGGCGAGCUGCUGUACAAGGCGGCGCAAUGGAGGGCGCGGGAGCGGCGUCACGGUGGAGCUCGGGACGACGACGACGGGACGCGCAGCGAGGCUUCAGGCGUCGGUGGUCCCAGGAAGGGCAGGUGCUACAAGUGCGGGGAGCGGGGUCACUUCAAGCGUGACCGCCCGCAGUGGAAGAAGGCGCCGGCACCGGAGCAUGCACUGCUGGUCGACGGCGACGUCGAGGAUGGCGGGCUGCUCAGAGCCGCGGCUUAG
RNAcentral lists this ribosomal RNA (522 nucleotides) under Triticum aestivum (bread wheat). RNAcentral describes it as "partial small subunit ribosomal RNA". The record is from RNAcentral. Lineage: Eukaryota; Viridiplantae; Streptophyta; Magnoliopsida; Poales; Poaceae.